AGGAAUAGAAAACAUGGUUUAUAUUUUCAACAUUUGGAGAAAGAAAUGAAAACUGAAUAUUUGCUGCACCUGUGAAAACAUAUUUGAUCAUGAUGGCAAGUCCAGCAUUCUUAGUGCAGGAUUCAUAUUUCAUAACUUGUGUUCAAACAAGAAAAAUGAUUAUAAUGUUAAGUAUUUCCUGAGUUUAUUUUGAUGGAUGACAGAAUAAGUACUGUAUCUUUCACUCAUUAAAAUACAGAUUGGUGUAAUUUAAUAAAUGAACUUAAUACACAGAUGUUCCAGGCUGUUUUAGCAGGGUGUAUAUUAAUCAACUUCUUUAUAUAUGAUCCUCUUUUAUAUUUUUUAAAGAAACUUGCAGGAGCCAAGAAUUUAUUAGAUUUGCAUGCUGUGGGCCGAAUAUCAGAUGUCAAGUACACACAGGAGUGCAUUACGAUGAAAUGGAGCCAGCGUCUGCAGAGCGGCCAGGCCCCGAGAGGGCUGUCCCUGGGCUGGCACCUCGCUCUCAGGGCCAACUCAGAGCCCCAGUCCCGUGCAGGUUUAGGACCCUGCUGAGCUUGCUGCUGCCAUUGUUGAGACACUCAGAGGUGCCUCUGAAGCCUGGGUGGGAGCUGGUGGCCUUGGGUACUCCGAGGCCCUGACCGGGCAGUGGCUCUGCCCCGAAGAGGGGGCGUCUCCAGGACACAUCACAUGCUCCUGGGCUUCCCUCAGAGCCUCUUAGCCCAGUUACACAUUCCCUUCGCUUCCCUCCACUCCUCUCUAGCAUAUUGGAGGCUGAUGCUUUGUUCUGUCCGAACUUGUUUCAUGCGAAGGCCUUGCUAACAAGACCACAAACCCCUAAAGAACACGUUAUUUGCCUCUCAGAGCACCUUGCCUACUCCUCGUGGUUCCAGAAAUGUGGUUACAUCCUGAAUGCUGUGGACCAGGAUGUCCACAGGCUCGUCUUUUCCUGCUGCCCAGCUAGAGAGUUUGCAAGGCAACUUGAGUGGCAGUUGUGGGUCCAGAUGCUGCCCAGAACAAGGCACUGGUGCCCCUCAGUGGCCCCCAAGGAUGGGUGCUCUCUGGUUGCAGUUUGAGCUGGCCCAUCGCCCUGCAGCCCCUCUGCAUCCCUUGCUGGCUCAUCAAUCACACAGGCAGGUCCUGCAGGUGGGUAGUGGCUCUGCUGUCACAUGCCUGUUUGCAAUAAGCUCUGGCCGUAAUCAUUAAUCAUUCACUGAGGCUGUGGUUAGUGGCCCUCAGUCAAGAGGAUGGUUUCACAUUUUCCGGACUAAGUGGCUCUCUCGAAAGCAUCCUCCCUGCUCUUUCAUGUCCAGUCAUUUGAUGUUCUGUGUAUGCCGAGCUGGCCACCAAAGCCAAGCUUUGUUCUGGAGGGCUGCUCUGAAUGCUGCCUUUGGGCAGGCGCAGGAGCAUUCCGGAUCCAGCCUCAGGCCUGCACGGGAGACAGAGGGCUGGGGGUGUGAGCCCCUCCCCAGGACAUCCUGAGUGUGCCGUGCUCUGCCACACCAUGCAGAUCUGAGAGGACCAAAGAGUGGCUCUGCCCUUCGUAUCCUGUUUACGAACAGUGCUCAUGCAAAACAGGUGCCAGCGAGGCUAUUUAUCUGGGUGAAAAGGACUGAAGGAGCCUUCUGUCUGUGGGUUGUUCAUGAAACUAGAGGCUUGGCUUUGGUGAUGGAGGAGACAACCAGGGAUCGUAGCAACAGGGGCCACAGGUGAGGGCAGCUCUGGGUGUGCAGGGUGCUGAUCAUAGCUAGAAUGUACUCUGCUCAUCCCUCCAGAUCCCGCUCAGAUGCCAGCUCCCUUGCAGCCUUCUCAGGCUGCUGGAGGCUGCAUGAAUGACUCUUCCCUCUGGACCCCCCCACUGGAGAGUUUUUGAUGACUGUGUUCACUACCUCUCUGGGGCUUGUUUUCUUGCAGGGUUGGGAGGAAGACCUGAGACUUGCUUCUGCUAUUCACUGUGACCCCUUCAGCGUCCCCUCUGUAAGAAGGGAAAACACUGCAAAGUUUUGAGUGAGAAUACAUAGAAUAAGUGAAAUGAUGCAUGUAACAUACCUGUUACAAAGACUGGCAUGGAGUAGAUGCUCAGGCAAGGUUGGGCUCUGUUCUGCCUACCACAUUCUGCCUACCUCAUUGUCUGCUGUGUACAGGUGAGUCUGCAGCCACGAAAGCAGGAGGUGGAAUCCUUGCUUCUGGUCCUCUGUCUAGCACAGUGACUGGCCUGGAGCAUGGGCUCCUACCCCUGGGACUGCCUUCCAACCUGCCUACCAACACCUCGCCAAGGAGAAGGGGCAGAUCAGGGCAGGGCGAGUGGGGGAUACGGGAGUCAGGUUUGCUUGUUUGUUUUCCUUUUGAAGGCUCUGAUGAAGCCAGAAACUUCCUGAAGUCAGGCAAUUCUCCUAUCCCCUGAGAAGGAUUUGAGUAUAAUAUCCUCUUGCUGGAAGGAAAAUUAGAGAUAAUUAGUCUAGUGCUUUCAAAUUUGUGAGCGGGAACCAGAUGCUUUCUGGAAUCACUGGUACAACAAGGAAAUUUCCAUCAAGAUCUCCCCACCUCACCGAGAGGAUUCUUCCCUGGUGAUAGAAAAUUGAAAGAGAUUUAGCCAGCAGGGCCUACACAGUAAUGCUGGCUUUGUGCUUGUUCCUCUGUCAGAAGAGCAGAAAGUGAAGCCGGUAAUUUGUGUUAACUAAGCACUUUCAUUAUAGGAACUCCAGGGAAAGGGUGGGGAUCAGAACAUUUUUUCAUACAGCUGUCCCGAAUCCUGAGGAUGAUUUGUGUUGUUAGGGAGAAAUACUAAUAAUGCGGAGCGUAUGGAAAAGUUUAAGGCAGAGUCAGGGCCCUCUUCCAAGUGCUCAGGCUGCAUAUCCAGUGCUGUGCAGUUUCCCUUCUCAGUCCCCUGCUUUUCCUGGCUGGGCCCAUGCACACCAUGUCCCUUGAAGGCUGCAGAAGUGACCUCCACGGAUCCUUGGCUCCAGUUUGGCCACUCUCAAGGGGGCCAUGGCCUGGGAAAGAAUGCCACAGAAGACACCACAUGCCCACCCAAGAGGGCAAGGCGAGACCACCCCUCAGCAUUUGGUUGCCCAGACACGGCUGCUAGAGGCUUUGACUCACACUCUGGACUGCGAGCUCUGCCUGGCAGGGUGGCACUCACUUCCAGACGACAUUUCCAGGGUGACCCUUCCUGUCUCAGGGCACCCUGUGUGGGGCUGUUCUUCCCUGCAGGGGGAGCAGCCUAUGGUUCCCAUCAGGCCUGCCCAGCCU
Non-coding RNA from Heterocephalus glaber (naked mole-rat), 3249 nucleotides. NCBI's taxonomy places the organism in Eukaryota, Metazoa, Chordata, Mammalia, Rodentia, Bathyergidae. The record is from RefSeq and is a predicted model, not a curated record.